UUUUCUUUAAAUCUCAAUUCAAUUUUCAAUUUUAAUAAUCCGAUAUUGCUGUCUUAGCAUUUCUGCUUACAUUUUCUACUAUUGUGUUGGUUAUUUGGUAACAAAAAUUGCAUUUGUGACGCCACAGAGUAUAUACAUAUAUACUUCCUAACGGUAAAGACUGGUAAAGGUUACUUGUAUAUUUCAUUAUAAUUUUAAUGUUUAAAUGGUGCUGUGCAUUUCAUUCAUACAUAAAAUUUACAAAUCGUGUAGUAAAAUAUCUAUAAGUAUUUCUUUACAAAUGGGAUACAUAUAAUCAUUAGCCUAAAACUAAAAGGUGCGUGUUUUAAAAUACCGGAUCAAAGAACGCGGCUAAAAAUAUCGAUAUUAACCUCACUCGCGAGAGAUACUGUGCCAUUAAUCGAUGUCAAAUCUCAUUGUAUAUAGGGUAUGUGUUAAUUGUCAAUUUAACUGGAGUUCAGUAAGUUAUUCGCCUGAGUUGCAUCAGAAAAUUGAAGCCACAUGUGUCCGUUACAUUAGAUAACAAUUGCUGGACCGACUGAUGUAAUUAUUGUACCCUGCACACUAAGCUCAGUAGCUCGUCAUCCACGGCUUCGAUCAUGCAGAGAGUAUUGGGAAGUUUGGCAUUUUCAUAAUGCCAAAUAUAGUACAGGCGCAUAGGUUGGGCAUGCAUCAUUCCACAAUCGUCGAAACGUCGGAUUUAAUCAUAUAAUAAAUCUAAUCAAAGAUAACUUGAUUGACAAAUAUAGUAAAAUAGUACAAAUUAAUGAUGACAUACCAAGUAGCGAUAGUUGAUUGCGAUGAAACUCCUGCGUAGUAAGAGGGUUAAAUUUGGUGUCACCAUCUUUGAUAGAAAUGUCUAUUGAUAAGUGGUCCAAAAAAAGAAUCAUUCAUUCAUUAAUAUUGUUAAAGACAAUAGUACAAGUUAAAUUGUUUUGCAACAGUUGAAUUGGAAUCUUUGCAACUUUGUUCGAAUAUUUGUUCAUUCCGAUAAAAUGUAAAUGUUUCAUACGAUUAGAAAUAUUGAUUUGAAAAAUGUUUAACGUAAUGAAAAUGCAAUGAAUUUUAUGCAUUUAUACUUAUACCUUUCUUCGUAACUUUCGUUAGGCUAGGUCUUCUUUGAAAAUUUAAUCAGCUUCGAUUAACGUGAGCAUGUCACGGCUCAAAGUCCCUCGACAUCCCUCAUGGUCAGGCCACCUAGGCCUGCCCAUCGUCACGGUGGCACGUAUUAGGCCCAAGGAACCCCCAUAAACCGCAUCUGUUAAACAUUAAGGUACAGUCAUAUAGACAUCGCCGGUUUAUGAAGAUUCCCAAAAAUCCGUUGGUCUGUUGCACAUCCUCGCUAAUUGCGAAGAAAGCAGAUGUGCCCUGCGAAACUGCUGGGUUUUCCUCAAGAACAAGGACACCCAUGAGCCAAAUUUGCAGGAGACUUUCUCCUCAUAUUGUAUUUAUUAACAUUGGCCAUAACCAAUGGGCAUCGCGGAUCGUUACCCUCACUAUUCUACCCAAAAGAGUAAACAGCGAAUCCGCGUCCUUAGUUCGGAAGGAAACACCCUCACCGAGUUUUCCUCAGUAAGAGCAGUAGAGCAGUCGGAGAGUCUUGAACAGUCACGCCUAGAGCUCGGAAGUGCAUUGUAAAUAUAAGAAUAAAAUAAAAGUUUCUUCUCUCAUUAAAUUCAUUAUUAUUUUACGUGACAAGCACGUGAUUAUCACGUUCAACGAUGGAGGAUGUCAGGGACAUUUCCAAAUAUAUUUAAAAUGGAAAAUGAUAUUUUAACGUGCAUAGAAUUAAUUUAUUAAGAUGGUAUAAUAUCGAAACAUUAUGUAAUUAUAGUAAAAGUAUCUGUUUCAUUCUUUACUGAUUCACACAUGAGUAUAUUUAUUACAUAUGAAAAUAAUAAAAAUAUGAAAUAUGAAUGUAAUGAAAAUUCAAUUUCCACUUCGUAAAUCUGACGAUUAAAGAAAUGCAUAUAUAAAAUUUAUAUAAAUGGAAAAAGUACGGAAAUUAAUAUAAAUAAUGUUAGAAUGUAAAUUCUCAUUAAAAUGUAAAAAUAUGCAAUGCAUAUUUAUAGGAUGUGAAAUUAAUGUUGAUUGAAUAUCAUAUAAUUCAAGAUAUAUUUCUAAGAAAAAAUACAGGAUAUAUACUAUUGCGGAAUAACGGCACACAUCAAAAUUUACAAAUAAAAGUAUUCGUAGAAAUAUGUAUAUCUAAAUGAAUAUAAAAAAUAUUAUUUAUAAUUAACAUUUUUAUAAAAAACACGAGAAAUAUCUACGAUAUACGAUAUCAUACAUAGUAGUCGCAAAAAUGAGUUCUUGCGCAAUAUACAAUUCAAUAAUUAUUGUUUGAAAUAUACAUUAUUUUUACGCUGUAAUAAAUAAAAUUCUGUACAUAUUCGAAA
Long non-coding RNA from Bombus pascuorum, 2399 nucleotides. RefSeq lists it as uncharacterized. NCBI's taxonomy places the organism in Eukaryota, Metazoa, Arthropoda, Insecta, Hymenoptera, Apidae. The record is from RefSeq and is a predicted model, not a curated record. The transcript is spliced from 2 exons.